GACGAACGCUGGCGGCGUGCCUAACACAUGCAAGUGGAGCGACGAACCGGGGCUUGCCCCGGGGCAGAGCCGCGAACGGGUGAGUAACACGUGGGUUACCUACCCCGAUGACUGGGACAACCCGUCGAAAGACGGGCUAAUACCGGAUGUGCCCCUUGGGGGAAAGGAAGCUUCGGCCUCCGCAUCGGGAUGGGCCCGCGGCGCAUUAGCUUGUUGGUGGGGUAAUGGCUUACCAAGGCGACGAUGCGUAGCUGGUCUGAGAGGACGAUCAGCCACACUGGGACUGAGACACGGCCCAGACUCCUACGGGAGGCAGCAGUGGGGAAUCUUGCACAAUGCGCGAAAGCGUGAUGCAGCAACGCCGCGUGCGGGAAGAAGGCCUUAGGGUUGUAAACCGCUUUCAGUUGGGACGAAGCUUCAGUCGUUAAUAGCGGUUUGGAGUGACGGUACCUUCAGAAGAAGCGCCGGCUAACUACGUGCCAGCAGCCGCGGUAAUACGUAGGGCGCGAGCGUUGUCCGGAGUCAUUGGGCGUAAAGCGCGUGUAGGCGGCUGAGUAAGUCUGCUGUGAAAGUCCAGGGCUCAACCCUGGAAUGUCGGCGGAUACUGCUCAGCUGGAGUACGGGAGGGGCGAGUGGAAUUCCUGGUGUAGCGGUGGAAUGCGCAGAUAUCAGGAGGACACCUAUGGCGAAGGCAGCUCACUGGAACGUUACUGACGCUGAGACGCGAA
RNAcentral lists this ribosomal RNA (728 nucleotides) under uncultured Actinomycetes bacterium. RNAcentral's name for it is "bacterial SSU rRNA". It matches the Rfam family "Bacterial small subunit ribosomal RNA", at positions 28 to 757 of the family's 1533-position model. Lineage: Bacteria; Bacillati; Actinomycetota; Actinomycetes. The record is from RNAcentral.